RNAcentral lists this ribosomal RNA (484 nucleotides) under uncultured bacterium. RNAcentral's name for it is "partial 16S ribosomal RNA". It matches the Rfam family "Bacterial small subunit ribosomal RNA", at positions 30 to 507 of the family's 1533-position model. The record is from RNAcentral.
AUUGAACGCUGGCGGCAGGCCUAACACAUGCAAGUCGAGCGGAUGAAGGGAGCUUGCUCCUGGAUUCAGCGGCGGACGGGUGAGUAAUGCCUAGGAAUCUGCCUGGUAGUGGGGGAUAACGUCCGGAAACGGGCGCUAAUACCGCAUACGUCCUGAGGGAGAAAGGGGGGGAUCUUCGGACCUCACGCUAUCAGAUGAGCCUAGGUCGGAUUAGCUAGUUGGUGGGGUAAAGGCCUACCAAGGCGACGAUCCGUAACUGGUCUGAGAGGAUGAUCAGUCACACUGGAACUGAGACACGGUCCAGACUCCUACGGGAGGCAGCAGUAGGGAAUAUUGGACAAUGGGCGAAAGCCUGACCCAGCCAUGCCGCGUGUGUGAAGAAGGUCUUCGGAUUGUAAAGCACUUUAAGUUGGGAGGAAGGGCAGUAAGUUAAUACCUUGCUGUUUUGACGUUACCAACAGAAAAAGCACCGGCUAACUUCGUG